UGGCCUUCCUCCGCAGGGGGAAAGUUCCGGCGGUCCAGGAUGACCCCACGGCCUUUCAGCUUGUUGGCGGGGUAAUGGCCUACCAAGGCACGACGGGUAGCCGGCCUAGAGGGCGACCGGCCACCUGGGACUGAGACACGGCCCAGAUUCCUACGGGAGGCAGCAGUGGGGAAUAUUGCACAAUGGGCGAAAGCCUGAUGCAGCGACGCCGCGUGAGGGAUGACGGCCUUCGGGUUGUAAACCUCUUUCAGCAGGGAAGAAGCGCAAGUGACGGUACCUGCAGAAGAAGCACCGGCUAACUACGUGCCAGCAGCCGCGGUAAUACGUAGGGUGCGAGCGUUGUCCGGAAUUAUUGGGCGUAAAGAGCUCGUAGGCGGCCUGUCGCGUCGGAUGUGAAAGCCCGGGGCUUAACCCCGGGUCUGCAUUCGAUACGGGCAGGCUAGAGUGUGGUAGGGGAGAUCGGAAUUCCUGGUGUAGCGGUGAAAUGCGCAGAUAUCAGGAGGAACACCGGUGGCGAAGGCGGAUCUCUGGGCCAUUACUGACGCUGAGGAGCGAAAGCGUGGGGAGCGAACAGGAUUAGAUACCCUGGUAGUCCACGCCGUAAACGUUGGGAACUAGGUGUUGGCGACAUUCCACGUCGUCGGUGCCGCAGCUAACGCAUUAAGUUCCCCGCCUGGGGAGUACGGCCGCAAGGCUAAAACUCAAAGGAAUUGACGGGGGCCCGCACAAGCAGCGGAGCAUGUGGCUUAAUUCGACGCAACGCGAAGAACCUUACCAAGGCUUGACAUAUGCCGGAAACAUCCAGAGAUGGGUGCCCCCUUGUGGUCGGUAUACAGGUGGUGCAUGGUUGUCGUCAGCUCGUGUCGUGAGAUGUUGGGUUAAGUCCCGCAACGAGCGCAACCCUUGUUCUGUGUUGCCAGCAUGCCUUUCGGGGUGAUGGGGACUCACAGGAGACUGCCGGGGUCAACUCGGAGGAAGGUGGGGACGACGUCAAAUCAUCAUGCCCCUUAUGUCUUGGGCUGCACACGUGCUACAUGGUCGGUACAAAGGGCUGCGAUGCCGCGAGGCGGAGCGAAUCCCAAAAAGCCGGCCUUCGGAUUGGGGUCUGCAACUCGACCCCAUGAAGUUGG
Molecule: ribosomal RNA, 1130 nt
Filed under: Streptomyces sp.
Lineage: Bacteria; Bacillati; Actinomycetota; Actinomycetes; Kitasatosporales; Streptomycetaceae
Description: bacterial SSU rRNA
Rfam family: Bacterial small subunit ribosomal RNA
Source: RNAcentral